ACGGUCGCAAGAUUAAACUCAAAUGAAUUGACGGGGGCCCGCACAAGCGGUGGAGCAUGUGGUUUUAAUUCGAUGCAAUGCGAAGAACCUUUACCUACUCUUGACAUCCAGAGAACUUCUCCAGAGAUGGAUUGGUGCCUUCGGGAACUCUGAGACAGGUGCUGCAUGGCUGUCGUCAGCUCGUGUUGUGAAAUGUUGGGUUAAGUCCCGCAACGAGCGCAACCCUUAUCCUUGUUUGCCAGCACGUAAUGGUGGGAACUCCAGGGAGACUGCCGGUGAUAAACCGGAGGAAGGUGGGGACGACGUCAAGUCAUCAUGGCCCUUACGAGUAGGGCUACACACGUGCUACAAUGGCAUAUACAGAGGGCAGCGAGACCGCGAGGUGAAGCGAAUCCCAGAAAGUAUGCCGUAGUCCGGAUUGGAGUCUGCAACUCGACUCCAUGAAGUCGGAAUCGCUAGUAAUCGUGGAUCAGAAUGCCACGGUGAAUACGUUCCCGGGCCUUGUACACACCGCCCGUCACACCAUGGGAGUGGGCUGCACCAGAAGUAGAUAGCUUAACCUUCGGGAGGGCGUUUACCACGGUGGGUUCAUGACUGGGGUG
This 602-nucleotide ribosomal RNA is filed under the name uncultured bacterium ECS22. RNAcentral's name for it is "bacterial SSU rRNA". It matches the Rfam family "Bacterial small subunit ribosomal RNA", at positions 882 to 1482 of the family's 1533-position model. The record is from RNAcentral.